Molecule: long non-coding RNA, 1596 nt
Organism: Sapajus apella (tufted capuchin)
Lineage: Eukaryota; Metazoa; Chordata; Mammalia; Primates; Cebidae
Exons: 6
Source: RefSeq, a predicted model, not a curated record
AAAAAAAAACCUCGAGUGAUGUGGCUGAAUACUGCAUAAUCUGAAGACUCUUCACUGAGGACUGUGCAGGUGGCUGAAAUCCUGGUUUGUUGUGGUUGGAUGAUACAUGACCUGAGGACUCCUGUACUGAUGACUGCAGAAUGGGUCCAGAAUUUUCCUAUACAUACAUUAAAAUACUAAGCACUCCAGAAGCAGUCAUUAAGCAGACAUCACACUUUGCUUACUUUGCUGUCUGUCACUGAGAUCACCAGGUGAGUUCAAAGACAUGCCUAUAUUCUAGGCAAGGGAAAUUAUAUUUGGGCCAGCUCAGGGCAAUGAUGUUGAACAGCUCUUAUAAGCUUCUGAUAACACCCAAGAAGUAGAGAAACUACUGUCUACAAAACUUUGAACUCAAGGCAUAUCACAGAAACAUUUGCUUUCUUCAACUAUAUCUGUUUUCUUAUAAGGAGAAAUAAUGAGAAAUGAUUUUUCACAAAGCCUGCCUUAGCCCUCAGGCCAAGCCAGCCCCUACUGCUGUGUCCCAACAUUUAAAGAUCAUUGAAGUCCAACUUCAUGCCAUAUAUUCUCAAGAGGUUUUCUUGUUUAACCCUCAGGACAGGUCUGUAAUGAUGGGUAUGGUUUAGUCCCAGUUCACAGAUGACCAAGCUCAGGCUCACAGAGCCUAAGUCACCUGCCCAGACCCUUCUUGACAGAGAAGUUCGAGAAUGGUGGUACCGUUGCGCCCUCUCAUGACAGAAGCCUGAACUACAGCUAGAACAUCGCGAGCAGGAAGGUGGGAGGGAGAGGCUGAGAGGCCCAAGCCCACCUUACAGAACUUUCGGAACUCUGGGUGGAAAAGCAGGCAUUCCCAGUAUUCUUAAGGAUAUUGAUGGGCUCAAGACAGAAAUCGUCUUCUCUUAGCUGAAAAGAGAGCUCUAUAUCAGAAGAAAAAAACGCUUCUUGAUAGAGGAGUUCGAUAACAGUUGUACCAUGGCGCCCUCUGGUGACAGAAGCCUGAACUACAGCUACAACAUUGCCGGCAGAAAGGUGGGAGGGAGAGGCUGUGGCCCAAGCCCACCUUAUAGAGCUUUCUGGAACUCUGCGUGGAAAAGUGGGCAUUCCAAGUAUUCCCAGGGAUAUUGAUGGGCUCAAGACCAUCAUUACGCCUUUUCAGCCUGGUUAGGAAACAUUGCUGGGGAACUAGUGCAGUGAUUUGGAGCUUCUAUAGUGAUGUUGGAAAAACAGUUUUCUAUGGAGUCUCAAAUGAAGACAGAAUGCAGAUGAAGAGGAGAGAGAAGUCACAUGCCCUUGACCCUCAUACCAGACCCAUUACCACCUACAGGACUCUGAACCAGGAUUUCAUUUGCACCAUUGGGUGUUUCAAGGUGGGAGGGGUUGUUGAAUGUGUAUCUACAAGGGCACAAUACUACAAACAUGUAAAACUACUAAGUUUUAAAUCCUAGAAUGUCAUGGUGUAUAAAAUAUUAAUACUUAUUGCUUUGGUUUGGAAUUAGGGGGAAAUGUAUCCUGGUAUACUUGGAAGUGGCUCCCUCAGUAGCUUUUGUUCUUACACUUCAGGGAUAUUCUCCAUUUUAAAUGUGUGUGUCUUUCCUGUGG